RNA transcript from Vigna radiata var. radiata (mung bean), 2000 nucleotides. It is a transcript of the gene named putative protein TPRXL, with no coding region annotated. The record is from RefSeq and is a predicted model, not a curated record. Lineage: Eukaryota; Viridiplantae; Streptophyta; Magnoliopsida; Fabales; Fabaceae. The transcript has 6 exons.
UCAAAAGUUUGUCAAAUUUGGGUGUCAAAGUAUCAUUAUCCAAUGACAAAAUUGUACUAUUGGAAACUUUUUAAUUACACUAGAUUAUUUUCGUUUCAGGCUCAUCUUUCUUUCUCGCUCUCGCCGUAGUGGGAAGACCAUCACAGAUCUUCGACGCCUCGUCUCCUACGUUCUUGGCCUCUACAAAAUCUCCGACGAGAUCCUCGUCAACACCGUCGACAACAAGCAGCGGAUCCCUCCGUGACAGUCCUCAAGGUUACCAUUGAUGCCAAGUAGAUCACCAUAUUCGUCUUCAACAACGACGAUGCCAUACCCGUCGAGAUCCCCAAACUCAUUUACGGCCACUUCCUCACUAACAGCAGCUAUGACCACAAGGUCAAGAAGACCUCCGGUGGACGCAACGGCUUCAGUGCGAAGCUCACCAACAUCUUCUCCACCAAGUUCAUCAUCAAAAUCAGUGCGAAGCUCACCAAAAUCUUCUCCACCAAGUCCAUCAUCAAAAUCGCCGAUGGAAAGCACAAAAAGAAUCCUAGGGUUUUCCACCUACAGCUCCCUCCCACACACCACCGCUCCCUUCCAUCUCAAGGCUUUCUCUACCUCCGUCACCGAUAAGUCCUUCGUUUGCACAGUCGACGAACUCCGUUAUGUCUCCCUUUCAAAUUUUGAUUAGAAACUCGCUCUCUGGAACUAUAACCCUUCACUUCUAGACACAAUUUUGUUUGAUAGGCACCUCCAAGGAAUCAUCCUCUGUUGAUCAACUGUUUAAGAUGAUUGGCAACCUGGACAAAAGUUUUGAAGGUGAAUUAAUGUUAUGUAUCCAGUUAUUUUAUGUUUUCCUUUCAUCUAACUGUUACAAGAUAUUCCAAGAAUUGCUAAAGUAUUUUGAUACAUUGUUUCAAUUUCUGAGCUGCAUACAUGAAGCUUAAGGAGUAACAAACUACGGGAAAUUCUAUCAUGCAAUAAGAGUUGCUUAUCCUGAUAUCCAAUUUAUCUCAAACUUAGAUGGUUCUUCUCGGGCUUUAGAUCAUCCAGCUGAUAUUAGUCAUGGCAAAACCUUCUGCUGGGAUUCAGUUUCCUACUAUUCCUGUCGACAACAAGGCACAUUGUAAGAUUCUAUAUCUCAAUAAACAUUUGUGAUUAUCUAUUAGUUUAUAAUAUCUAUAUUAAUUGUAAUGGAUGCAGGGGAGAUGCUGGUUUCUCAAGUCAAAUUUGCAUUUGUAUCUGGAUUAGCAAUAACCAUUUUAUUCAUACCAUAUAGAAAUGUCACUUAGAUUUUUUAAAUUACUGUUUGGUGACAUGUUCAAAGUUCAACUUAAACAUUUCCUCGGUGUUAUAAUUUGGUCAAAUAUAAUUGUUCUCUCAUUCAUUUGUACCAGUUAGUUUAGUCUUUCCUUUUAUUUCUCUUAAAAUUUGCACCUGGUUUUGGGAUUGAUGCCACAGUGUAAUCUUUAUUUAUUGUUGCAGGUAGAAGAUGCUCGAAUAUCUGUUUUGUAAAUUCAAUAUCCAAAAUGGCCUAUAGAUAAUGUAGUACUUGUUAGGGUAACACUUUGAUUUGGUCCUUUUUCUUGCAGGAAGCUUAAAAAGUUAACGUAAAACAUGUAGCAUUGGAGAUUGGCAUUUCACCAUAUACAUUAACUGCAAAUACAAAUGAAGCUUAUACGACCCUUGAUGUCUGACAUAAAAUAGUCAAUUGGCUAAAAGACCAUGUAUAUUCUAGUGCAUUUUAGAAGGGUUUAAAGGUCUAAUGAAAGUGGAAAAAUGGGUGAUAAGAGACUGGUUCGAGUUAUUGACAUGGCUGCAUUUGAGCUUGAUCUACUAGAAGAAUAUGAUUCACACUUUAAGAAGCUGAGUCUAGGUGAUAAAUUGCCUAUCAAAUUCUUCAAGUGAUUAAUUGUUAGAAAGACAAGUUAUUGAAUUAUAGACAAUGUAAUUUUUAAUUUUUUAAGUUGGAUUACAAACAAUGUAAUUUUCAAUUUCUAUGUAUAAUUGUUUCUAGAUGA